GAUGAACGCUGGCGGCGUGCCUAAUACAUGCAAGUCGAGCGAACGGACGAGAAGCUUGCUUCUCUGAUGUUAGCGGCGGACGGGUGAGUAACACGUGGAUAACCUACCUAUAAGACUGGGAUAACUUCGGGACACCGUAGCUAAUACCGGAUAAUAUUUUGAACCGCAUGGUUCAAAAGUGAAAGUCGGUCUUGCUGUCACUUAUAGCUGGAUCUGCGCUGCAUUAGCUAGUUGGUAAGGUAACGGCUUACCAAGGCAACGAUGCAUAGCCGACCUGAGAGGGUGAUCGGCCACACUGGAACUGAGACACGGUCCAGACUCCUACGGGAGGCAGCAGUAGGGAAUCUUCCGCAAUGGGCGAAAGCCUGACGGAGCAACGCCGCGUGAGUGAUGAAGGUCUUCGGAUCGUAAAACUCUGCUAUUAGGGAAGAACAGAUGUGUAAGUAACUGUGCACAUCUUGACGGUACCUAAUCAGAAAGCCACGGCUAACUACGUG
Molecule: ribosomal RNA, 497 nt
Filed under: uncultured bacterium
Lineage: Bacteria
Description: partial 16S ribosomal RNA
Rfam family: Bacterial small subunit ribosomal RNA
Source: RNAcentral